AAUAGAUACCCUGGUAGUCCACGCCGUAAACGAUGAGUGCUAAGUGUUAGGGGGUUUCCGCCCCUUAGUGCUGCAGCUAACGCAUUAAGCACUCCGCCUGGGGAGUACGGUCGCAAGACUGAAACUCAAAGGAAUUGACGGGGGCCCGCACAAGCGGUGGGGCAUGUGGUUUAAUUCGAAGCAACGCGAAGAACCUUACCAGGUCUUGACAUCCCGCUGAUCGGCCUAGAGAUAGGCUUUUCCCUUCGGGGACAGCGGUGACAGGUGGUGCAUGGUUGUCGUCAGCUCGUGUCGUGAGAUGUUGGGUUAAGUCCCGCAACGAGCGCAACCCUUGAUCUUAGUUGCCAGCAUUCAGUUGGGCACUCUAAGGUGACUGCCGGUGAUAAACCGGAGGAAGGUGGGGAUGACGUCAAAUCAUCAUGCCCCUUAUGACCUGGGCUACACACGUGCUACAAUGGACGGUACAGAGGGUCGCAACCCCGCGAGGGUGAGCUAAUCCCAUAAAACCGUUCUCAGUUCGGAUUGUAGG
Molecule: ribosomal RNA, 529 nt
Filed under: uncultured bacterium
Lineage: Bacteria
Description: bacterial SSU rRNA
Rfam family: Bacterial small subunit ribosomal RNA
Source: RNAcentral